RNAcentral lists this ribosomal RNA (364 nucleotides) under Shewanella sp. Its description in RNAcentral is "bacterial SSU rRNA". It matches the Rfam family "Bacterial small subunit ribosomal RNA", at positions 961 to 1324 of the family's 1533-position model. The record is from RNAcentral. Lineage: Bacteria; Pseudomonadati; Pseudomonadota; Gammaproteobacteria; Alteromonadales; Shewanellaceae.
GCGAAGAACCUUACCUACUCUUGACAUCCAGAGAACUUUYCAGAGAUGRAUUGGUGCCUUCGGGAACUCUGAGACAGGUGCUGCAUGGCUGUCGUCAGCUCGUGUUGUGAAAUGUUGGGUUAAGUCCCGCAACGAGCGCAACCCUUAUCCUUACUUGCCAGCGGGUAAUGCCGGGAACUUUAGGGAGACUGCCGGUGAUAAACCGGAGGAAGGUGGGGACGACGUCAAGUCAUCAUGGCCCUUACGAGUAGGGCUACACACGUGCUACAAUGGUCGKUACAGAGGGUUGCGAAGCCGCGAGGUGGAGCUAAUCUCACAAASCCGGUMGUAGUCCGGAUUGGAGUCUGCAACUCGACUCCAUGAA